UACGGGGGGGGUAAGCGUUGUUCGGAAUUAUUGGGCGUAAAGCGCGCGCAGGCGGUCAUUUAAGUCUGGUGUUUAAUCCCGGGGCUCAACCCCGGAUCGCACUGGAAACUGGGUGACUUGAGUGCAGAAGAGGAGAGUGGAAUUCCACGUGUAGCGGUGAAAUGCGUAGAGAUGUGGAGGAACACCAGUGGCGAAGGCGACUCUCUGGGCUGUAACUGACGCUGAGGCGCGAAAGCGUGGGGAGCAAACAGG
RNAcentral lists this ribosomal RNA (252 nucleotides) under uncultured bacterium. Its description in RNAcentral is "partial 16S ribosomal RNA". It matches the Rfam family "Bacterial small subunit ribosomal RNA", at positions 524 to 776 of the family's 1533-position model. The record is from RNAcentral.